GUCAGUUGCAAGGGUGUGAGGCAGAAGCAACACAAAAGAUCUUGAUAUGAAGCAAUUAUUUUUGGUCUUAAACUGCUGGGACUCCAGAUGACCCAGACCACGGUCAGCAGGCAGAAGCCAGGUAUUUUAUUCUUUUAGAUGCUAUUGUCAACAGAAUUGCCUUCAAGAUUCCUUUUCUGAUUGUUCAUUGCUGAGACAUGGUCUUGCUCUGUCACCUAGGCCGUAAUACAGUGGCGUGAUCCUAGCUCACAGCAGCCUCCAACUCCUGGGCUCAAGAGAUCCUCCUGCCUCAGCCUUCUGACUAGCUGGGACUACAGGAAUGUGCUACCACACCCAGCUAAUUUUUUAAUUUUUUGCAGAGAUGACAUCUCACUAUAUUGCCCAGGCUGGUCUUGAACUUCUAGCCUCAAGCAAUCCUCCCACCUCAGCCUCUGAACGUACUGGAAUUACAGAUGGAGCAACUGAGAUUCUUCCCCAACUAGACUAUAAGUUCUCUGAGGGAUAAGGAACAUGUCUGGUUUCCUCAUCUCUCUGUCACAGCACCCUGUGAAUGCCUAGAAGACAGUAAGAAUCAACUGAAUGUUUGUAGAAAGAAUAACGAUACUUACCUAUAGUCUAAAGGUUUAGUGAUGAAAUGAAGUCCACUAACUUCUCUCUGCUUACUUCCACCCUCAAUAACAUAUUUCCUCAAACCCCACAGAGGAAAGACAAUUCAUUUUUUACUAUUGUUUAAUAGAGCCAUGUUUGUAUGUAGCUUCCUGUUCCGCUUAGCCCAAGACAUUAAGUGGGUCAGGAGUAAACUCUGCCCUCUGUUUUUUUCCAUUCCUUUGUCACCUGCUCAAGUGGCAGCCCAGAGCCGCUUGGCGGCUUCCCUGAAGAUGAGCAGAGUGCAGUAGAUUAGGCAUGGCCUUUCUAUCUAUUUCUACUAUGGAGAAGCUGAAAAAGCUAUAUGGCUGGAAAAAAAUCACCUUGGUACUAAUUUGCUAUUUUACAAUAUUUGAAAAUAAAGACCUGUGGUCUUCCUAUGUAUUUCUUUUUAAACAAUGAGGGGUAUGGAACAUCUAUGAAUAAACAUCAAGGUCUUCAAGUGAAUUUUCAGGUUGUGAAGUAUGUGAUUUGUUACUACUAGGGAGAGAUGUUUCCUAACCAUAAAAAUGAAUGUGACUUUUUUUUUUUAAAGGAUGCAACUAAAUUAUAAAAGACAAUCAUUUCACUGGUGGGAAUAGAAUUCACUUAUUCUGAGUCAUGCCUAUUGCAUUACAUUUUGUUUAGCAUAAUUAAUGGUGAAUCUGAGUUGUCCCACAGAAGUAAACCCUAAUUCUCCUCUCCCUACUUCUACCUCUCUCAUUUUAAAGUCUUCAAUUAGUUUUUCCCAAAUGUUUCCAGUCUUAAGAUUUACGGAAUUUGAAGCCUUUCCCAAAGAUCCAAUCUUCCAGAUAAAAGGAAAAUAUAAUAUAGCAUUCCAAUAAAAAUAAGAUAUUCUGGGGUUUCCAUUUUUAAUUAUACCAAUUUUUAAUGUUCAUUAAAUAUAUUUCCCUCUGCCAA
This 1545-nucleotide long non-coding RNA is filed under the name Homo sapiens (human). Its description in RNAcentral is "HSALNT0356748". Lineage: Eukaryota; Metazoa; Chordata; Mammalia; Primates; Hominidae. The record is from RNAcentral.